GGGGAUUUGGCUCAGUGGUAGAGCACUUGCCUAGCAAGCACAAGGCCCUGGGUUCAGACCCCAGCUCCG
This 69-nucleotide transfer RNA is filed under the name Rattus norvegicus (Norway rat). It matches the Rfam family "tRNA". Rfam says of the family: Transfer RNA (tRNA) molecules are approximately 80 nucleotides in length. The record is from Rfam by way of RNAcentral. Lineage: Eukaryota; Metazoa; Chordata; Mammalia; Rodentia; Muridae.